This 491-nucleotide ribosomal RNA is filed under the name uncultured bacterium. RNAcentral's name for it is "partial 16S ribosomal RNA". It matches the Rfam family "Bacterial small subunit ribosomal RNA", at positions 29 to 506 of the family's 1533-position model. The record is from RNAcentral.
AGUGAACGCUGGCGGUAGGCCUAACACAUGCAAGUCGAACGGCAGCACAGUAAGAGCUUGCUCUUACGGGUGGCGAGUGGCGGACGGGUGAGGAAUACAUCGGAAUCUACUUUUUCGUGGGGGAUAACGUAGGGAAACUUACGCUAAUACCGCAUACGACCUACGGGUGAAAGCAGGGGAUCUUCGGACCUUGCGCGAUUGAAUGAGCCGAUGUCGGAUUAGCUAGUUGGCGGGGUAAAGGCCCACCAAGGCGACGAUCCGUAGCUGGUCUGAGAGGAUGACCGGCCACACUGGAACUGAGCAACGGCCCAACCCCCCAGGGGAGGCAGCGGGGGGAAAUUUUGGAAAAUGGGGGAAAGCCUGAUCCAGCCAUCCCGGGGGGGUGAAGAAGGCCUUCGGGUUGUAAAGCCCUUUUGUUGGGAAAAAAAAGAAGCAGGUUAAAACCCCCCUGUUUUGGCGGUACCAAAAGAAUAAGCACCGGCUAACUUCGU